RNAcentral lists this transfer RNA (94 nucleotides) under Isosphaera pallida ATCC 43644. RNAcentral describes it as "Selenocysteine transfer RNA". It matches the Rfam family "Selenocysteine transfer RNA". Lineage: Bacteria; Pseudomonadati; Planctomycetota; Planctomycetia; Isosphaerales; Isosphaeraceae. The record is from Rfam by way of RNAcentral.
GGGAGUGUUUUCCGGCUGGUGCCGGGCGCGGUCUUCAAAACCGUCGGGCGGCGUGGCGACACGUCGCCGGUGGGUUCGAUUCCCAUCCGCUCCC